RNAcentral lists this ribosomal RNA (583 nucleotides) under Filobasidium uniguttulatum. RNAcentral describes it as "partial large subunit ribosomal RNA". It matches the Rfam family "Eukaryotic large subunit ribosomal RNA", at positions 53 to 624 of the family's 3401-position model. Lineage: Eukaryota; Fungi; Basidiomycota; Tremellomycetes; Filobasidiales; Filobasidiaceae. The record is from RNAcentral.
GAGGAAAAGAAACUAACAAGGAUUCCCCUAGUAACGGCGAGCGAAGCGGGAAGAGCUCAAAUUUGAAAUCUGGUGGCCUCAGGUCAUCCGAGUUGUAAUCUAUAGAAGUGUUUUCCGUGCUGGCCCAUGUACAAGUCCCUUGGAACAGGGCGUCAUAGAGGGUGAGAAUCCCGUCCUUGACAUGGACUACCAGUGCUCUGUGAUACACUUUCAACGAGUCGAGUUGUUUGGGAAUGCAGCUCAAAAUGGGUGGUAAAUUCCAUCUAAAGCUAAAUAUUGGCGAGAGACCGAUAGCGAACAAGUACCGUGAGGGAAAGAUGAAAAGCACUUUGGAAAGAGAGUUAAACAGUAUGUGAAAUUGUUGAAAGGGAAACGAUUGAAGUCAGUCGUGCUCAAUGGACUCAGCCGUUCUGCGGUGUAUUUCCAUUGGGUGGGGUCAACAUCAGUUUUGAUCGCUGGAUAAAGGCAGGAGGAAUGUAGCACCCCCGGGUGAACUUAUAGCCUCUUGUCACAUACAGUGGUUGGGACUGAGGAACGCAGCAUGCCUUUAUGGCCGGGAUUCGUCCACGUACAUGCUUAGGAU